AUCCACCUGAUGAGUCCCAAAUGGGACGAAACGCGUGCCUUAGAU
This 45-nucleotide non-coding RNA is filed under the name Schistosoma margrebowiei. Lineage: Eukaryota; Metazoa; Platyhelminthes; Trematoda; Strigeidida; Schistosomatidae. The record is from RNAcentral.